GGUCAACAUGAGGGCGUCUUCUAUGGCCACCUCUUCCAAACAUGAUCUCAAGGGGGCAAGACAACCCGCUAGACUUAAGCAUAUUAAUCAGCGGAGGAAAAGAAACUAACAAGGAUUCCCCUAGUAACUGCGAGUGAAGAGGGAACAGCUCAACGUGUGAAUCUGACUUGGUCUAACACCUUGUCCGACUUGUGCACUAUUGACACUGGCUCAGCGUAUAAAUGCUAAAGGCGGAUGUCCGAUGAAACACGGCACCAUAGUGGGUCACAGUCCUAUACAUGCCUAUUGGUGUUUACGCAUAUGACCAGUGCUCAUCGAGUCGUGUAGUUUUGUAUUGCUGCACUAAUUGGGAGGUAGAGCCCUUCUAAAGCUAAAUAUUAUGGCAUGACCGAUAGCAAACAAGUACCGUGAGGGAAAGGUGAAAAGCAACCAUGCAGAAUGGGUUGAAAGAGUAGUGAAAGUGCUACCGGGAUAAGGGCUAGUGAUUGCAAGUGCAGACUGCAUGUGCUUUAGUGCUAUGCAAACUGCCGUCAUGCAUCGAUUGGGUUGGGGAGAACAGGUUGGUGGAGAUUCAGCUCGAUCCAGAGUGUUGUAAUCCAUCAGACAA
Molecule: ribosomal RNA, 607 nt
Filed under: uncultured Tulasnellaceae
Lineage: Eukaryota; Fungi; Basidiomycota; Agaricomycetes; Cantharellales; Tulasnellaceae
Description: eukaryotic LSU rRNA
Rfam family: Eukaryotic large subunit ribosomal RNA
Source: RNAcentral